Molecule: ribosomal RNA, 465 nt
Filed under: Vreelandella stevensii
Lineage: Bacteria; Pseudomonadati; Pseudomonadota; Gammaproteobacteria; Oceanospirillales; Halomonadaceae
Description: partial 16S ribosomal RNA
Rfam family: Bacterial small subunit ribosomal RNA
Source: RNAcentral
CCUACGGGCGGCAGCAGUGGGGAAUAUUGGACAAUGGGGGGAACCCUGAUCCAGCCAUGCCGCGGGUGUGAAGAAGGCCCUCGGGUUGUAAAGCACUUUCAGUGAGGAAGAACGCCUGGUGGUUAAUACCCAUCAGGAAAGACAUCACUCACAGAAGAAGCACCGGCUAACUCCGUGCCAGCAGCCGCGGUAAUACGGAGGGUGCGAGCGUUAAUCGGAAUUACUGGGCGUAAAGCGCGCGUAGGUGGCUUGAUAAGCCGGUUGUGAAAGCCCCGGGCUCAACCUGGAAACGGCAUCCGGAACUGUCAAGCUAGAGUGCAGGAGAGGAAGGUAGAAUUCCCGGUGUAGCGGUGAAAUGCGUAGAGAUCGGGAGGAAUACCAGUGGCGAAGGCGGCCUUCUGGACUGACACUGACACUGAGGUGCGAAAGCGUGGGUAGCAAACAGGAUUAGAUGCCCCUGUAGUC